RNAcentral lists this ribosomal RNA (301 nucleotides) under uncultured bacterium. Its description in RNAcentral is "partial 16S ribosomal RNA". It matches the Rfam family "Bacterial small subunit ribosomal RNA", at positions 509 to 807 of the family's 1533-position model. The record is from RNAcentral.
CAGCAGCCGCGGUAAUACGAAGGGUGCAAGCGUUACUCGGAAUUACUGGGCGUAAAGCGUGCGUAGGUGGUGGUUUAAGUCCGUUGUGAAGGCCCUGGGCUCAACCUGGGAAUUGCAGUGGAUACUGGAUCACUAGAGUGUGGUAGAGGAUAGUGGAAUUUCCGGUGUAGCAGUGAAAUGCGUAGAGAUCGGAAGGAACAUCUGUGGCGAAGGCGACUAUCUGGGCCAACACUGACACUGAGGCACGAAAGCGUGGGGAGCAAACAGGAUUAGAUACCCGAGUAGUCCCUGUCUCUUAUAC